This 254-nucleotide ribosomal RNA is filed under the name uncultured bacterium. Its description in RNAcentral is "partial 16S ribosomal RNA". It matches the Rfam family "Bacterial small subunit ribosomal RNA", at positions 524 to 776 of the family's 1533-position model. The record is from RNAcentral.
UACAGAGGGUGCAAGCGUUGUUCGGAAUCAUUGGGCGUAAAGCGCACGUAGGCGGUCUGCUAAGUCGGGGUGUGAAAGCCCCAGGCUCAACCUGGGAAGUGCACUCGAAACUGGCGGACUUGAAUGUCGGAGAGGGUGGUGGAAUUCCGAGUGUAGAGGUGAAAUUCGUAGAUAUUCGGAGGAACACCAGUGGCGAAGGCGACCACCUGGACGAACAUUGACGCUGAGGUGCGAAAGCGUGGGGAGCAAACAGG